RNAcentral lists this unclassified non-coding RNA (497 nucleotides) under uncultured Glomus. RNAcentral describes it as "SSU rRNA". It matches the Rfam family "Eukaryotic small subunit ribosomal RNA", at positions 591 to 1092 of the family's 1831-position model. Lineage: Eukaryota; Fungi; Glomeromycota; Glomeromycetes; Glomerales; Glomeraceae. The record is from RNAcentral.
CCAAUAGCGUAUAUUAAAGUUGCUGCAGUUAAAAAGCUCGUAGUUGAAUUUCGGGACUAAUAUGUCGGUCGUGCCUCGGUACGUACUGGUAUUUUUGGUUUCUCCCUUCUGACGAACCUUGAUGUCAUUAAUUUGGUGUCUUGGGAAAUCAGGACUGUUACUUUGAAAAAAUUAGAGUGUUUAAAGCAGGCUCACGCUUGAAUACAUUAGCAUGGAAUAAUGAAAUAGGACGUUUGAUUCUAUUUUGUUGGUUUCUAGGAUCGACGUAAUGAUUAAUAGGGAUAGUUGGGGGCAUUAGUAUUCAAUUGUCAGAGGUGAAAUUCUUGGAUUUAUUGAAGACUAACUACUGCGAAAGCAUUUGCCAAGGAUGUUUUCAUUAAUCAAGAACGAAAGUUAGGGGAUCGAAGACGAUCAGAUACCGUCGUAGUCUUAACCAUAAACUAUGCCGACUAGGGAUCGGAUGAUGUUAUUUUUAAUGACUCAUUCGGCGCCUUACG